CAGCCUUGAAGCUGCUAAUAAUCUCUUCAUUAUCUCUCCCUACUUUCAUCUGAGUCUUUUACCAUUUUGCCUUUUCUUGCUGCCUUCCUCUUUCAGCUGUUCCACUAAUUACUUCCUUGCUUAACUUUGAAGCCCUCCGUGGCUGUUACUUAUUUUCCCUUUCAGCUGCUUGAUUGUUUUCAUCCUUUGCUCUCGUCUUUAGCAGCAGCAAAAAGAUGGCAAGCAGAAGAGGUGUGGGUAGAGCUAGUAAGGAAACAAAUCCUAUUCCUUUGAGGAGACCCUGGAUCUGGUCAAAUAUUCCUGCAGUAGCAACAGUUGUUGAGGAAACUGGCCUGAGACAUGCAGUCACUGUGGUGGAGUACUAUGUUGUAAGAAACUUUUGGAUUGCCUCAUGGAUUGAUCAGACCUGGCUUCUCCAUCCCACUCAAGCAAGGAUGAAAGCCUUGAAGUGCUUCAGGAGGGAUGGCAGGAUCCAGUGGUGGGAUGUCAGUCUCUGGAGUCUGGCACCUCCCCUCCAUUUCUGGGCACAGAGUUAACACUGAAACCUGAGCCAGCUGAUAACAAGGGCAGCAAGCACCAGCUGGGUGUGUGUGGCAUUACCCAUCCACCUCUUCCUGGCAGCUCCAGCACUGGGAAUGCAUUAACAGUGUGGUUCAGUGGAGGCUCAGGAGCUUGACCAUCACAAAGGCCACACAUUUGAAAUGGCUACUGGCACCCUGUUUGAUGCUUCAAGUCUUCUGUGGGUGAGUGGCAUGUCAGAAAUUGAUUUCCUCCUGCAUCCUUCUCUAUUGCAUCAGCAGUGUUGGAAGUCAUGUUGCCUGUUACCUCAUGGCAGCAGCAGGAUCUGAAACAGCACAAUGAAAUUACCUAGACAUUCCUUUUUCCAAGCUAAAGAAAUCCCUUUUUUUUUCUUUUUUUCUACUACCCACUGGAUCUCCUACUUUUCGUUUGCUGAGGCCUCUUCUGUUAGUUGGCCCAUGUGGGUCGUCCAUUCCUUUGUCCUUGUAUCCUCCAGCUUGUUUCCUUGCAGGUUUUUAAUGUCUUUCAGAGGUAAAAAGGAAAGGUAGGAAAUUAUUUAAGUAUAAAAAUACAAUAGUUUUAUGUUUCUGUUCAACUGCUCCUGGGAUGCUUUCACAUGUGGCAAACAUACCCAGACAAUUAAUCUUGUGCACCCACAGGGUGUAACUGUAAAACAGUGCAUGACAGAUGAAGAUGUAUCUUCCUUCCCUAUUGUGCUGUGUUUGGGGGAUUUUUUGGAACCUCUGCUUUUGCUGUGUCAGGGCCAGUUACCCCAUCUGGACCCCUGGGCAUAUUCUAGUUGAUUUGAUAAAAGCAGAUCCUCUGUGUCUUAUUAAAAUUAUAUAUUAGUUAUUAGGGCAUGCAUUCAUUUUCCCUUCUGUUAAUUUUUUUUUGCGGAGGGUGGGGGGAAUGGAGAAGUAGCCAAAAUCAGAAGAAACUCCAGGGCAUGGAAGAAGCGUGGGAGAGAAAUGGCUCACAGCACACUUGCUCUAGAGGGGUCUGAGCUGAAGUGUCGGUGGUGGGAACGAGCAGGUAACAACCAGCCCGUCUGAGAGGGCUCUCCAGAGCAAGAACUGCUGGACCAUUUAGGUGGUUACACUGCUAAAUAGGUCCUGCCUUCCCCGGGUGUCCUUGUGCCAGGGGUGGAGCACCCUGGGAAACUCAGAUAAUGAGCACAUGCUGCUGCUUCAAGUGCUGGAGGCAGGAAGCUCUAAGCACAGGAGCAGUGGCUGCUCAUUCCUGUGUCUCUUCUGUCUGAGCUGAUGAGUUCACAGUGCUGCCCCCCUGCAGCUCUGGAAUCUUGUUAUGCUGUCAUCUCUGCCAUUCUUUGUGUAUCUCAGAGUUUUCUGCAUUCUCCCCAGUAUAUCCUCAAUUUCUCUGCAUUUUAAGCACUUAUUCUAGCCAGGCUUGCUAUUUAUGUGGAUGGGGUUUGGUUUCUAUUGCAGAAGGCACUGUGGACAUUAAUCCUUUGGGGACUUCAGGAGGACAUACUAGAUGGUCACUCCAAGUUCAAACUGACUUUGGGAUAGGCUCCUUGUGCCAGUUACAGACCUGUGUCUCACAGGAAUGAGAGCUGUGGGCAAAGGGAAGGAGCAGCUCAGAGGUCUGGGGUUUGUUUAACGUGUCUGCCCAUGUUAGAUAAACUUGUGCCUGUGCAAUCUGUGUAAGAGCACCAUCCCCCAGCAUCUGAUUCUUUCUGACACACUCAUCCAGGGUUUUCCAGACCCACCUCUCUGGGAAACAGCCAGCCUGAGAGAAAAGACCUCAGCAGGCAGCAAGGAUCCAGGCAACAGGCACUGCUGCUUAUGCAAUAGGCAAACAUUGUAGUAAAUAACAUGUGUAGCUUUGUUAUUAAGCUUGAUCUUGUUAGGGGGGCAAUAAAUGUUCUCUGUGAUCAUUUUUCUUGUAGAAUAUCAACACAGGAUAAAAUUGUGGCUCUGGCUUUGCUCUUCCUGCUCAUUAGAGCUCCAUGCUGCUUCAUGCCAUGGCCUCAAUCUGUUGCUGUUUGCCUUGACAGCUGCAUGUCCCCAAUUUCCUUCAGACUCAUUUUGCACAUGAUAAUGCUGGCAGUUCUUGAGUUUUUCAUGUCCCUUCCCCCCUGCCCCUUCUCACUUUCACAAAAGCAACUUAGCAGCAAAUUGUGCUUAAUUUAAAAGGGAUGGUUUGGGUAAGAUACCUGUUUGCUGGAAACCAAAAUCAGGGACAUCUGGCAUUCAUUGACUUUUAAAAGCAAAGAAAUGACACAACUAAAAUGCAGAUACAGAGGAUUUCCAGCUACUUGGAGGGGGUGUUGUUUUAGUAAAUUGAACUCAGAUAGAUUUGUUCUACUUGCUCCUAGCUGUUGAUCUGGGUAUAGUCUGGACUGAACCACUUGUUUAAUUAUAUGGCACUAAAAAAAUAGCUUUGCUUCAUAAAAUGCCUUUUUUUUUUCUCCUUUCAUCUGCACUGGAUGGCUGCUUUAAGGCAUGAAGACCCUUCUAGAGCCAUCCUCUGAGUCACCAAACUCCACCUUUCCACCAGAAAAAGCUUUUGUAUCAUAUCCAGAGCCAGGUACCUACGCUGUGCCUGGGGGAACGUGAGCUGGGGGCACUCCAGCCUCACUUCCAAUUUCUAGGCUGAUUUACAGUGGAGGAGCCAGAGAAUCCCUUGGUUUGAUUUGCUGGGCAUACAGGUGGCAGUGAGAGAUGCUUCCCAGAGCUGCCAGGAGCUGAGUGGUGCCCUGCUAGCCUGGAGCUGUGAGGCAGCUGAAGCAAUCCCAUCUGACCAGUAGCUGUAAAACAAAAACCAGCCCGUUCUGACACUACAAAACAGUAGAGCUUUAUUUGAACUCAAAGAGAAUAAAUGAGUCUUUGGCAUUAUGUGGGGAGAGGAGGCUGUGCUUCUUGCUGCCAGUAGUGCAUACUUUCUAACUCAAGAAGGAGCAGCAAGGCAGAUCAGGCAUGAACCCAAAAAAAUCCUGGCUUUGCCCAUGGAGAGAGUGAGAAGUUGGAUCCUCUAGAACAGAGGCUACUUUAUGAGGAGUCAGAAACUGGGCCACACACAAACUGGAUAUGUGAGGGUAGCGGGGCACUGCUGUGUUUUUGCUGAGGGAUCCCCAGGCAGGUCAGCCUGGGCCAUGCAGCCCCUGUGGCAGCAAGCAGCAGAUCUCUGCACUGGCUCCCUCACUGUGCAUGACAGGUUCUGUGUCAGCUGCCUCAGACUCCCCACAUCUCCCCACUGCUGGCAGUGGUGGAGUCUGGACCAGUAUGAAACAAGAAUUUUACAAAAGGCAGAAGAAGAACUCUCCCCGCAUUUCACUCGCUUCCCUAUUUGUCAUUUCUGGCUGAAUCCUUCACUCCUGCUGGAUCUUCCCCUGGGAAGUGAUUGAAAGAGCCUCAACAGUUUAAUCCAAAUUGCCCUCCAGUUCCCUGGUGAUGCAAUUAAUUGAAAGCAGGAUUUUUACAAUUCUGUUCUGCUUAAAAGUAUCCCCUGGCCAUCAGGCUCUCCUGCUAUGAGAGCUAAGAGUCACUGUGCUGGCAGCCACAUCCACUAUGAGCCAGGAUUUCUAAGGGGAUAAUCCAGGAAGACAUCAGGUCCCCCUGUGUGGCACUCCCAGCCAUAAUCAGCCUCUCACAGUUGUGGGCUAUUGCAGUUCAGCAUCAGGGGUAGUUUCUUCCAGUACUGAAGCUUGCUGUAGCAGACUUAAACAUUUUCCCCACAAUAAUCUGCAGUGGGAGAAGCCUCCAG
Molecule: long non-coding RNA, 4245 nt
Organism: Passer domesticus (house sparrow)
Lineage: Eukaryota; Metazoa; Chordata; Aves; Passeriformes; Passeridae
Exons: 3
Source: RefSeq, a predicted model, not a curated record